RNAcentral lists this long non-coding RNA (202 nucleotides) under Mytilus galloprovincialis (Mediterranean mussel). Lineage: Eukaryota; Metazoa; Mollusca; Bivalvia; Mytilida; Mytilidae. The record is from RNAcentral.
GUGAAACAAAGACUGAAAAUUUGUACAUCAGCAUUUUAGCAUACACACGGCAUUUGUGGCAUUUCGAAGCAAGCAAUACGACUACUCAAGUCAAAAUUAAAUGCCCGGGUUGGGUACACAGUAGUGAGCAUAUAAACACGUGAUCACCCUGUAUGUAACAUUUGUCAUUGAAUGUUAGGCAACAAACAAUCGAUCAACCAAC